GCCUCUGUCACUUUGUCUCGUACCAAUUAAAGUACUCGUCCUUGGUCUUGGGGAUUGAAUUGAAUUCGAUUCCCACUCGUGUUUUAGAUUAAAACUCUAUGCAAUCGAUUUGCAAUUAUUAUUGACUGGUGAGAUAAAAGAUACUUGAUGAGAAAUGUUGACACGUGCGAAACUUCUCCGUGCCCAGGACCUAGAAGUUCUCUAUGCCACAACUGUGGAACAUAGCACCGCACACUGGCGACGACGAGCACGAACGCAACCCAAAUAAUUCAGAGACAGAUGCUGAAGAAAGGGAAGAUACCGAAACUUAAUGAUUCUGAAUAGAAAAUAAUAUUGGAAAAGUUUUAAAUUGUAUAUAUCAUUUUACCGCAAAUUAC
Long non-coding RNA from Belonocnema kinseyi, 377 nucleotides. RefSeq lists it as uncharacterized. The record is from RefSeq and is a predicted model, not a curated record. The transcript is spliced from 2 exons. Lineage: Eukaryota; Metazoa; Arthropoda; Insecta; Hymenoptera; Cynipidae.